AGAGUUUGAUCAUGGCUCAGAGCGAACGCUGGCGGCGUGCCUAACACAUGCAAGUCGAACGUGAAAGGGAGCAAUCCUGAGUAAAGUGGCGUACGGGUGAGUAACGCGUAGGUAAUCUACCCCCAAAGUCUGGAAUAACCUGCCGAAAGGCGGGCUAAUACUGGAUAGAGCGAUGGAAUCCGUAAUUGGGUUUUUCGGGAAAGGGAGGAAGCAAUUCCCUUUGCUUUGGGAUGAGCCUGCGUCUCAUUAGCUAGUUGGUGGGGUAAUGGCCCACCAAGGCAUUGAUGGGUAGCUGGUCUGAGAGGAUGAUCAGCCACACUGGAACUGAAACACGGUCCAGACUCCUACGGGAGGCAGCAGUGGGGAAUCUUGCGCAAUGGACGAAAGUCUGACGCAGCCACGCCGCGUGAGUGAAGAAGGCCUUCGGGUUGUAAAGCUCUGUCGAGCGGGACGAAAAUCCUUUCAGUGAAUAGCUGAGAGGACUGACGGUACCGCUAAAGGAAGCACCGGCUAACUCCGUGCCAGCAGCCGCGGUAAUACGGAGGGUGCAAGCGUUGCUCGGAAUUAUUGGGCGUAAAGGGUAGGUAGGUGGUCUCAUUUGUCUGGGGUGAAAGCCUUGAGCUUAACUCAAGAAGUGCCCCAGAAACGGUGGGACUGGAGUCCUGGAGAGGGUCGUGGAAUUCCCGGUGUAGCGGUGAAAUGCGUAGAGAUCGGGAGGAACACCAGAGGCGAAAGCGGCGACCUGGACAGGUACUGACACUCAACUACGAAAGCGUGGGGAGCAAACAGGAUUAGAUACCCCCGUAGUCC
RNAcentral lists this ribosomal RNA (810 nucleotides) under uncultured bacterium. Its description in RNAcentral is "bacterial SSU rRNA". It matches the Rfam family "Bacterial small subunit ribosomal RNA", at positions 8 to 796 of the family's 1533-position model. The record is from RNAcentral.